RNAcentral lists this long non-coding RNA (4348 nucleotides) under Nicotiana tabacum (common tobacco). Its description in RNAcentral is "long non-coding RNA (NTAB_LNC003288)". Lineage: Eukaryota; Viridiplantae; Streptophyta; Magnoliopsida; Solanales; Solanaceae. The record is from RNAcentral.
GAGAAGGUCUCCCCCUACAAUUGAACUGAAUGAGAACAUUGGCCAACAAGGUGAAAAGCAGAAGAUGGACUCAUCUAAAGUUGAUCAAAAUAUUGCCCAUACACCUACUGUGAAGAGAAGUUCAAGAUUCAGAGGAGUUAGCAAGUAGUACUAAAUUAAAAAUGUUGAGGACAUUUUCUGGUCCCUUUUCCCCCUUUUGAGUUAUAUAGGUUUAAGAAACUAAUUCUUGAUUACCUUGGAUUUUAGGCAUCGAUGGACGGGGCGUUAUGAGGCUCAUUUGUGGGACAAGAGUUCUUGGAAUGUAACUCAGAAAAAGAAAGGAAAACAAGUAUAUCUUGGUGAGUACUGCACUUGGUGCUAUAGAUCAAUAUUUGAUUCAAGAAUUGAAUUUUGGGUGAUAAAAAAAUUUACUUGUAUGUUAUGUUUUAAAUUGUGCAGGAGCAUAUGAUGAAGAAGAAUCUGCAGCAAGAGCAUAUGAUUUGGCUGCAAUCAAGUACUGGGGUACAUCAACUUUCACUAAUUUUCCGGUAUGAUCACCUCAGCUGACUCAAAACUUGUGUAUACUUGCUAUUUUCAUAGUCCUUUUGCUUUUAAUUCUUUCUAUUUGAUUGAAAAUUCUGUCUUAAACUCUUUCCUACAGAUAUCUGAUUAUGAGAAAGAAAUUGAAAUAAUGCAAACUGUGACUAAGGAGGAGUACUUAGCCUCUUUAAGAAGGUAUUUGUUCAACUUGAUUUUCAAUCAGAUAAAGACAAUCUUUUCAUCAAAAACACAAAACUUACCGUAGUUUUUUGCUGUUCUAAUGCAGGAGAAGCAGUGGUUUCGCCCGGGGUGUAUCUAAAUACAGAGGAGUAGCAAGGUAAAUAAAUUCAUUUCACCUUGAUAAUCAAGGCCACUGUUCUAAAACUUUACUAUAUGUUGAUCAUAAUUAGUAACAAAAGAUUUUGCAUUGAUACAACUUGCAGGCAUCAUCACAAUGGCAGAUGGGAAGCAAGAAUAGGUAGAGUUUUCGGUAACAAAUACCUCUACUUAGGUACUUACAGUAAGUACUUUCACCCCAUAAUUUUGAGAACUGAUCAAAUCAAGACUGUUAAAACAGGCUGCCAACUCGAAUCUUGUGUUUGUUUUUGUAGGCACUCAAGAGGAAGCAGCUCGAGCUUAUGACAUUGCUGCAAUUGAAUACAGAGGGAUUAAUGCUGUGACUAACUUUGACUUAAGCACCUAUAUUAGAUGGCUAAAACCAGGUGCCAAUUCUCAGAUGUCAUUCCAAGACAUAAGAUCAGAAAAUCAGGCUAUACAAAUGAACACUAACGAUAUGAUUAACCCGAUAAAUGAUCCUAAAUUCCCCUUCAGCUCCAAUUAUUUUACCACAACUAGAGAAACUCUGCCGCCUAUUCCUCAGAGCCAAGAACCUAUUGAAAGAAAAAUGCCCUUAAGUCCGUGCAACAAGUCGUCUUCCCCUACAGCUCUCAGCCUUCUGCUUCGCUCCUCCAUGUAUCGUGAGCUUGUGGAGAAGAAUUCUACCACUACUGCUAGUGAAAAGGAAGGGCCAAACAUGAAGAAUAAAAUACAAACAAACACAGAAGAUGAGUUUGUGUUUUACACAAGUGAUAAGUUGCCUCCAUUGGAGUCUUUGGAGAAGGGUACUUCUUCUCGUCUGUGUGAUAGAGCAGGGCAGUCCUUUUGGAAUGCGAUGCCUUAAAUUACUUAACAGUUUAACAAUUUGCAGUGAAGAAUAACUGAAACUUGGUAGUCAUCUAGGAAUAGAUGAGAAGUAGUUUCAUCAUAUGAGAUAGGACUGUACAUAAAAUGAACAGAGAGUGAAAAUCUCUCUUUUUGCAAAGAAAUCAGAUCUAUCAAAUGCUUUUGGACUUGAGAGAUACAAAGUUGCAAUUUCAAAGAAUGGAUUACGAGUAUUGGCCUGCAUUCAACAAUAAUUGAGUUUUAAUUAUAUGCACUAAUGGUGUAAAAGAUAUUUGCACAACUAAGUAACUUAAAAGGCAAUUUUACGUGAUCUCCCAUAAUUAACAUUUAUUGAUAACCUUGAAUAUUGUAUUGCGAUCGGGAAGCUAUUUGCAGGUUUCAAACUAUUGGUAGCACUGCUUGAAAUAUCAUUGUUCAACAACUCUCAUUCUAUUCGUAGACUUUAUUGCUGAAUCGUGAUUCAUGAAUAACAUAGAAAAAGAUACCCCACUACACAACUAAAGAGGAACCAUCGACCUCUAAUAAUUAUCAAGAUACAGGCUAAUGACAGGGGCCUAUUCCCUUUUCUAUCUAAAGACAACAGACAUUCCUAAAGAAACUACAAACACAAAAUAGAGCUUGUUGUCUGUAUGUUUUCACUACUAGAAGGCUGAAGGUAUCUAGGAUUUUCAGAUCAUAGUAAACAUAUGAAUAGAGAAAAAUUUAUGUGACACGAGCUGUUCAAGUGGGAAAGAGUUCAAACAGCUAGCAGCAGGCUUAGCCUGGCUGUAUCAUGCCUUCUUCUUUUUGGACUUGAGCAUUACAUAUCCAAUAAACAUGCUCAGCAAGCAGAUGAGUGCCAUUCCAGCAAAUACAGGAAUAAGAAUCGCAUACUCUUGAGGUAGAAAAUAGUUGUGCACAAAAUGAUCAGUAUCAACCAAUGGCUGAAAGAGAAAAAGCAUAUAUCAACCCCAUAUAAUAACGUAGGUCGCAAAAAGUCACUACAUCAGGGCAAGAUAGAAGAACUGACCAGAAUGAUGACCCAGAAGGUAUAAUAUGUGAAAAUAAACAAACUAGUUACUGUCAAAAGCAGCCCAAUCGUUCUGUCUGCUAAUUCCAUCGUGACUCUUUUGCUUGUGCAGACUCUAAAUGUGGAAUGCCAAAUUAAAUUACAAAGAAAAACACGGAGGCAAAACAAAAUCACUGCCCUAGGCAGAAGUAUGUAAAUGAAUUCCAAAGAAAUGAAAGCAGGAAAAGCAAACAGAGAGAAGGGGGAGGGAAUGCACAUGGAACACUCAAGAUGUGACAUUACACGACCAAACGUUAUGCAUCAUUCAAGACAAUACAGAUGACAUACAUUCUUUCUCAAGAACAGAACUGUAAGACCAACUCAGUAGCUGAAAAGUUGAAUAUCCCUCUGAUGUACCAAAGAAUACAAUGAUUGCUGAUGAAAAAGCACUACUAAUCCACUAUAUGUUUAGCUACCUUAUAAUUUCCAACUAUUUACCUGGUUUUAUUGCACCAAUGCACAAUAUAUGACUUAAUUACCCUUGGUAUCUAUACAAUCAUAUAUUUCCAAGAAAACUGCCAAAACCACAUAGCAGUCCUCUAUCCAGACCACACAAAAAUUUUAACAACAAAGAGGAGAGGAGUGACGUUUCAAUAACAAAAUGUUCCCAAUAAAAACAAAUCUGGAAAGAAACAUACCAGCUCCAGGAGAAAAAGGGAUAGAACUGAAGAAACCCGAAAAUAUUAGACCUAGUUUAUAUUUCUCAGAAUGUAAUGGUUUGUCUACCAAGGUGCACAUCUAUGCUUUUAUAGUGCUGGUAGCCUAAAGCAUGAUGGUGCUACCUCUUAAUAUCUGUGAGAGUAUAAGGUGUAUUUACAUCAGCAUAUCAUGCUAAUAGGUAUGUGUUUCCUUCUGGUACCAUCACCGUAUAUUUUGCAAACAAAUAUUUGACCCAAACACGUGAAUCUUGUUUCAAUAAUCUCCAAAGUCGCACAUACACAUCCAAAUGUGUGACCUAGUGGUCAAUGAAGUGGCUCGGACACCACGGUUAUAAAAAGAAUCGCACAUACAGUAGUUUCAUUUGAAGCAACACUUAAGGAGAUUAGGGAGCACUUAAAGAGAUUGACAGUCUACUCUAUGAUCCUCUAUGCUAGCUACACAAAUAAGGAGGAAAUUAUCGGAUAUUAAAGCUAAAAUAAUUACAUAAACGCUGGACAUCAGCAUACAGCUGUAAAAUAAAUUCAGAUUGCACUUACCUACGCGAUUAGCCUGAAAACUGAGAAACAAACAACGUAAAUGCUACAAAUUAAUCAGAAAAUUCAAAGGCGCAAAUAUAUGCAUUGAAGAGGUUUUCGCUGAUAGGCAAAAAACAUUAUACACACAAACAUCGAUUAUCCCCAUAAACGAACUUCAAUUCCUUAAUUUUCACGGUAAGUUCCAAUAUUUCACAUUUAAGGGAGAAAUUACCUUGAAUUUUUUAUUAUUUGGCGUUAAAUACUUUCGUUUCAGAGCACGAAGAUCGUUAUCAUCUUCCAAAUCGACAUUGAUUCCUUUGUGCUUCCAUUAGUUUCAUUAGUUCUCUCUUGAGAGCUUCAGAGAGGAGAAUCCUGAAUAAAUGGGCCAUCAGCUUUUUCUCAUAUGGGCCAAAAUGAAAGAUGG